This 468-nucleotide ribosomal RNA is filed under the name uncultured archaeon. RNAcentral describes it as "bacterial SSU rRNA". It matches the Rfam family "Archaeal small subunit ribosomal RNA", at positions 326 to 788 of the family's 1478-position model. The record is from RNAcentral.
CGGGGUGCCCGACGCGUCGAUUUCUCUACCAUGCUUGCGACUGCAAUCCGGGAGCGUCAAAUGAUACUCAUCUUGGGUGUCUGUCCUCCCAUCUAAAAUACAGGAGUUACCACGGGCCGGGCAAUACCGUGUGCCAGCCGCCGCGGUAAUACCGGCGGAUCGAGUGGUGGCCGAUAUUAUUGACUCUAAAGGAUCCGUAUCCGGCUUUGCAAUUCUUUUGGGAAAUCCCUCGGCUUAACCGUUGGUCGUCCGGGAAAUACUACAUUGCUCGGGACUGGGACAGGUAGGAGGUACUCAGGGGGUAGCGAGUGAAAUCCAGUAAUCAUUUGGGGACUUCCGGUGGCGAAUGCGUCCGACCACUACAGGUUCUAUAGACCAAGGAUUAAUGCUAUGGGCUCUGAAUCUGCAUUAUAUACCCGGGUAGUCCGACCCUGAUAUUAUGCUCAUCUGAUUUUGCAACUUGUUUGA